This is a non-coding RNA of Megalobrama amblycephala (Wuchang bream), 856 nucleotides long. Lineage: Eukaryota; Metazoa; Chordata; Actinopteri; Cypriniformes; Xenocyprididae. The record is from the annotation of a RefSeq genome assembly.
UUGAACCAACAUAUGAUAAAACAUCAGAGCACUGCAAUUUUGUUAAAGUACAUCCAGAAUCCUUGAGGAGGAGGAGACGUUCAGUAUUGAGGAACUGUGGUUCAGUCAGACUCCUCCUGCAGGUCUCUGAUAUGUGUCAGUGUUAGUACAACUUUAUCAAAGAGAGGCUGAAACAAGAGUCUGCUGUAGAUUUCAACAAGUUCAUUUUAUCUAAAGUAUUAUUUAUCAAUUUCUGUGAUGGCAAACUGGCAAAGAAUUGUAGUCUUCUUCAUCACAUAUUUCUGGGGAUGUGAUUCUCUGGACAGAGUUAAACAAAAUCAGAGAGUUCAAACUGCUGUUGAAGGUGCAGCUGUAACAAUCAACUGUCAAUAUGAAACCACUGAUGUUUCACCAUAUCUGUUCUGGUACCAGCAAAAAGUGAAUGGAUUUCCAGAAUACAUGCUGAACAGAUUUGGUACGGAUGAUAAGCAGUUCAAGGAUAGAUUUAGCAGCGAUCUCGACACAACUACAAAAUCUUUUCCACUGACAAUCCAGGAUCUGCGUGUGUCAGACUCUGCUCUGUAUUACUGUGCUCUGAGGCCCACAGUCACAGGAAACACAAGAUCACUGUACAAAAACCUGAUACAGCUGAAUGUGUUCAACUAAUUUCUUUCCAUAAAUCCAUCUGAAUUAAAGGUAGCUUAUGAUUUUACUCUAUAACUAUAUGAGGGUGAAAACUAUCAGCAGUGGCAUGAUAGAUUAUGAAUUUUGUUUUAAAAUGAACUUAAUGCUAUUAAUGCAAUACAUACACACUGUGCUCUUAUGAUGUUCUGACUAACUGUUGUUUUAAAUACAAUUUAACUUGCUUUUUUUGUAU